UGUGCUGGUUAAAUGUUAGGACC
RNAcentral lists this non-coding RNA (23 nucleotides) under Mus musculus (house mouse). Lineage: Eukaryota; Metazoa; Chordata; Mammalia; Rodentia; Muridae. The record is from RNAcentral.